RNAcentral lists this ribosomal RNA (489 nucleotides) under uncultured Flavobacterium sp. RNAcentral describes it as "partial 16S ribosomal RNA". Lineage: Bacteria; Pseudomonadati; Bacteroidota; Flavobacteriia; Flavobacteriales; Flavobacteriaceae. The record is from RNAcentral.
CACGGAGUUAGCCGAUCCUUAUUCUUACGGUACCGUCAAGCUGAUUCACGAAUCAGUGUUUCUUCCCGUACAAAAGCAGUUUACAAUCCAUAGGACCGUCAUCCUGCACGCGGCAUGGCUGGUUCAGGCUUGCGCCCAUUGACCAAUAUUCCUCACUGCUGCCUCCCGUAGGAGUCUGGUCCGUGUCUCAGUACCAGUGUGGGGGAUCUCCCUCUCAGGACCCCUACCCAUCGUCGCCUUGGUAAGCCGUUACCUUACCAACUAGCUAAUGGGACGCAUGCUCAUCUUUCACCGUUGUGACUUUAAUCAUAUCCCGAUGCCGGGUUAUGAUGCUAUGAGGCAUUAAUCCAAAUUUCUCUGGGCUAUUCCUCUGUGAAAGGCAGAUUGCAUACGCGUUACGCACCCGUGCGCCGGUCUCAAGGCCCGAAAGCCUCUACCCCUCGACUUGCAUGUGUUAAGCCUGCCGCUAGCGUUCAUCCUGAGCCAGGA